ACCUGACCGAGCGAUGCCGCGUGCGGGAUGAAGGCCCUCGGGUUGUAAACCGCUGUCAGUUGGGAGGAAGGCUCCGUGAAGAACGGAGUUUGACCUAUCUCAGAGGAAGUCCGGGCUAAGUUCGUGCCAGCAGCCGCGGUAAUACGAACCGGACAAACGUUAUUCGGAAUUAUUGGGCUUAAAGGGUGCGUAGGCGGCGCGGUAAGUGAGGUGUGAAAGCCCACGGCUCAACCGUGGAACUGCGCUUCAUACUGCCGUGCUUGAGGGAGACAGAGGUAAGCGGAACUGAUGGUGGAGCGGUGAAAUGCGUUGAUAUCAUCAGGAACACCGGUGGCGAAAGCGGCUUACUGGGUCUCUUCUGACGCUGAGGCACGAAAGCUAGGGGAGCGAACGGGAUUAGAUACCCCGGUAGUCCUAGCUGUAAACGAUGAGCACUUGGUUGGGGGCCCUCCCAUAGGUUCCCGGCCGAAGCGAAAGUGUUAAGUGCUCCGCCUGGGGAGUAUGGUCGCAAGGCUG
This 516-nucleotide ribosomal RNA is filed under the name uncultured Planctomycetota bacterium. Its description in RNAcentral is "bacterial SSU rRNA". It matches the Rfam family "Bacterial small subunit ribosomal RNA", at positions 381 to 896 of the family's 1533-position model. Lineage: Bacteria; Pseudomonadati; Planctomycetota. The record is from RNAcentral.